UGCAUCGGAACGUGCCCAGUCGUGGGGGAUAACUUGCCGAAAGGUAAGCUAAUACCGCAUACGUCCUGAGGGAGAAAGCGGGGGAUCUUCGGACCUCGCGCGAUUGGAGCGGCCGAUGUCAGAUUAGCUAGUUGGUGGGGUAAUGGCCUACCAAGGCGACGAUCUGUAGCGGGUCUGAGAGGAUGAUCCGCCACACUGGGACUGAGACACGGCCCAG
RNAcentral lists this ribosomal RNA (217 nucleotides) under uncultured bacterium. RNAcentral's name for it is "partial 16S ribosomal RNA". It matches the Rfam family "Bacterial small subunit ribosomal RNA", at positions 114 to 334 of the family's 1533-position model. The record is from RNAcentral.